ACGGGGAAUUAGGGUUCGAUUCCGGAGAGGGAGCCUGAGAAACGGCUACCACAUCUAAGGAAGGCAGCAGGCGCGCAAAUUACCCAAUUCUAACAGCAUAAGAGAGGUAGUGACAAGAAAUAACAGUACAAGGCAGUUAAAAUGCUUUGUAAUUGGAAUGAUAGAAAUUUAAAUACUUUUUAAAGUAUCAAUUGGAGGGCAAGUCUGGUGCCAGCAGCCGCGGUAAUUCCAGCUCCAAUAGCGUAUAUUAAAAUUGUUGCAGUUAAAAAGCUCGUAGUUGAAUUUUUGCUAAAAAUAACCGAUCUGCUUUUAUUAAUAAAAGUGGUAUCUUGGUGUGUUUUUAGCAAUAAUGUCCUUUGAAGUGUUUUUUACUUUAUUGCAAAAAGCAAUUUUCAGGAUUUUUACUUUGAGAAAAUUAGAGUGUUUCAAGCAGGCUAACGUUUUGAAUACUGCAGCAUGGAAUAAUAAAAAAAGAUUUUAGUUCUACUUUAUUGGUUUUAAGAACUAAAUUAAUGAUUGAUA
RNAcentral lists this ribosomal RNA (522 nucleotides) under Hepatozoon sp. Its description in RNAcentral is "partial 18S ribosomal RNA". It matches the Rfam family "Eukaryotic small subunit ribosomal RNA", at positions 362 to 874 of the family's 1831-position model. Lineage: Eukaryota; Apicomplexa; Hepatozoidae. The record is from RNAcentral.